Molecule: ribosomal RNA, 548 nt
Filed under: uncultured Glomus
Lineage: Eukaryota; Fungi; Glomeromycota; Glomeromycetes; Glomerales; Glomeraceae
Description: SSU rRNA
Rfam family: Eukaryotic small subunit ribosomal RNA
Source: RNAcentral
UUGGAGGGCAAGUCUGGUGCCAGCAGCCGCGGUAAUUCCAGCUCCAAUAGCGUAUAUUAAAGUUGCUGCAGUUAAAAAGCUCGUAGUUGAAUUUCGGGACCAUCAUGUCGGUCGUGCCUCGGUACGUACUGGUAUUGUUGGUUUCUCCCUUCUGGCGAACCGUGAUGUCAUUUAUUUGGUGUUGUGGGGAAUCAGGACUGUUACUUUGAAAAAAUUAGAGUGUUUAAAGCAGGCUCACGCUUGAAUACAUUAGCAUGGAAUAAUGAAAUAGGACGUUUGAUUCUAUUUUGUUGGUUUCUAGGAUCGACGUAAUGAUUAAUAGGGAUAGUUGGGGGCAUUAGUAUUCAAUUGUCAGAGGUGAAAUUCUUGGAUUUAUUGAAGACUAACUACUGCGAAAGCAUUUGCCAAGGAUGUUUUCAUUAAUCAAGAACGAAAGUUAGGGGAUCGAAGACAAUCAGAUACCGUCGUAGUCUUAACCAUAAACUAUGCCGACUCGGGAUCGGAUAAUGUUAAUUUUUUAAUGACUCAUUCGGCGCCUUACGGGAAAC